UAAUUUUGCUAAUCAUAUGGAUUCACAACGUACCUGAAGAAAAUGAUCGUUCAUAGUGUUUUUUGUGACAUUCUGAGUUUUAGCUGAUGGGUUUUUGGUUUUCCUAGAGACAUACAUUUAUUUUUUUAAGUCUUCUGUUUUUAUUUCCUGUUUUCUUGAAAAUUUUAAUUAGUAGUCAAUGAGGCUAAUGGUUUUGUUUUCUCUAGACUUUGCACAAUGGUGCAAACUGUUGAUUUUUUUAGCAUUUUCUAUUUCUGUUUUUUGUUAUUGUGGUUCUUUGAAUGGAAAUUUUACUUUACUUUACAGUUUAUAAAUCACAUGGCUUGAUUGGGGAUGUCUGAAUAGAACAUAUUAUAGAAGUUUCACAUUAGAUAUCUCUUAUAUGUAUGCU
This 391-nucleotide long non-coding RNA is filed under the name Panax ginseng (ginseng). RNAcentral describes it as "long non-coding RNA (PGIN_LNC014052)". Lineage: Eukaryota; Viridiplantae; Streptophyta; Magnoliopsida; Apiales; Araliaceae. The record is from RNAcentral.